AAAUAUUUCUUAACAAUAUUCUUAAUUAAACACCUAAAAUUCUCAAGUAAAUUGUUAAGAUAAAUGGAACUAUACUCUAGUAUUUUGUAUUCAUCAAAAUUCAUUAGGGGGUCAACAAUCUCCCCCUUUUUGAUGAUGACAAAACACUGAGUAUAUGCAAAAUUCGAAAUUUAAACAUAUACACAGUAUUUGAUCAGAUGUACAAGUCUAAUGUUUUGAUUAGCGCUAGAUACAAUGUGCAUAAUUCAAAAUAGUCAAUUUUUAGUUCUAUCCUUAUGCAUAAAAUUGAUCUUAAUAGCUCUUAGGCAAUUUUAGCAUAUCUACUGAAUUUCAAUCAAGUUAAAAUGUAGAUGGAUGCUAAAGACAAUUGAGAGCUAAGUUCCUUUUUGACUCCCCCUUUCUUUUCCAGAAAGGCAAUUAUCUUAAAGCCAAUAUUCUUCAAUUUUAACUCUUUUUAUUCAACUUUCGAGUAUGAUUGUAAAUUUUGUAUUUUGCAUUUCAUAUAUUGGUUCUACAAAUGUAN
This 523-nucleotide long non-coding RNA is filed under the name Phoenix dactylifera (date palm). RNAcentral describes it as "long non-coding RNA (PDAC_LNC004596)". The record is from RNAcentral. Lineage: Eukaryota; Viridiplantae; Streptophyta; Magnoliopsida; Arecales; Arecaceae.